Molecule: small nucleolar RNA, 137 nt
Filed under: Heterocephalus glaber (naked mole-rat)
Lineage: Eukaryota; Metazoa; Chordata; Mammalia; Rodentia; Bathyergidae
Source: RNAcentral
CUGGCCCUGAAUCAAGGCCGGCAGUUUUCUGAAGCUGUUGGUUUCAAGCAGGAGCCUAAAGAGAUGUCUUUCUAUGGUCUGUUGGCCAUUUCAGAACUUGGCAAAUGGAACGAUCAAUUCAUUAGAAAGAAACAGUA